AUCUUAGAUAGAGGUGCGGGUUUUAUCAGUACUCUAAAGCAAUGGCCGGAUCGCCGUUUUAGAGGAAAGGAAAAACCGCCGAAGAGUUUUGACGCCGGUCCGGGUGUCGCAGCUCUGGGACGCCAUAGAAAAUAUGGCGUACUGUCACAGUUUGUGGAGCGCUAUCAGGUUU
This is a regulatory RNA element of Blautia hydrogenotrophica CAG:147, 172 nucleotides long. It matches the Rfam family "Lysine riboswitch aptamer". From Rfam's summary of the family: Riboswitches are metabolite binding domains within certain messenger RNAs that serve as precision sensors for their corresponding targets. Allosteric rearrangement of mRNA structure is mediated by ligand binding, and this results in modulation of gene expression. The record is from Rfam. Lineage: Bacteria; Bacillati; Bacillota; Clostridia; Lachnospirales; Lachnospiraceae.